Molecule: ribosomal RNA, 292 nt
Filed under: uncultured bacterium
Lineage: Bacteria
Description: partial 16S ribosomal RNA
Source: RNAcentral
GGACUACAGGGGUAUCUAAUCCUGUUUGCUCCCCUAGCUUUCGCAGAUCAGAGUCAGUGACGGUCCAGUAGCCUGCUUUCGCCAUAGGUAUUCCUCCCGAUAUCUACGCAUUUCACCGCUACACCGGGAAUUCCAGCUACCUCUACCGCACUCUAGCCUAGCAGUUUCCGUUGACCUCUCCCAGUUAAGCCGGGAGCUUUCACAACAGACUUACUAAACCUCCUACCUGCGCUUUACGCCUAGUGAUUCCGAGUAACGCUUGCCACCUACGUAUUACCGCGGCUGCUGGCAC